UACGUAGGGGGCAAGCGUUAUCCGGAUUUACUGGGUGUAAAGGGAGCGUAGGUGGCAUGGUAAGCCAGAAGUGAAAACCCAGGGCUCAACUCUGUGGAUUGCUUUUGGAACUAUCAAGCUAGAGUGCUGGAGGGGUAAGCGGAAUUCCUAGUGUAGCGGUGAAAUGCGUAGAUAUUAGGAGGAACACCGGUGGCGAAGGCGGCUUACUGGACAGAAACUGACACUGAGGCUCGAAAGCGUGGGGAGCAAAC
Molecule: ribosomal RNA, 251 nt
Filed under: uncultured bacterium
Lineage: Bacteria
Description: partial 16S ribosomal RNA
Rfam family: Bacterial small subunit ribosomal RNA
Source: RNAcentral